AGCGAACGCUGGCGGCAGGCCUAACACAUGCAAGUCGAACGGACCCUUCGGGGUUAGUGGCGGACGGGUGAGUAACACGUGGGAACGUGCCUUUAGGUUCGGAAUAGCUCCUGGAAACGGGUGGUAAUGCCGAAUGUGCCCUUCGGGGGAAAGAUUUAUCGCCUUUAGAGCGGCCCGCGUCUGAUUAGCUAGUUGGUGAGGUAAUGGCUCACCAAGGCGACGAUCAGUAGCUGGUCUGAGAGGAUGACCAGCCACACUGGGACUGAGACACGGCCCAGACUCCUACGGGAGGCAGCAGUGGGGAAUCUUGCGCAAUGGGCGAAAGCCUGACGCAGCCAUGCCGCGUGAAUGAUGAAGGUCUUAGGAUUGUAAAAUUCUUUCACCGGGGACGAUAAUGACGGUACCCGGAGAAGAAGCCCCGGCUAACUUC
Molecule: ribosomal RNA, 430 nt
Filed under: uncultured bacterium
Lineage: Bacteria
Description: bacterial SSU rRNA
Rfam family: Bacterial small subunit ribosomal RNA
Source: RNAcentral